This is a non-coding RNA of Kocuria marina, 115 nucleotides long. NCBI's taxonomy places the organism in Bacteria, Bacillati, Actinomycetota, Actinomycetes, Micrococcales, Micrococcaceae. The record is from Rfam.
GAUGACGAGAUCCGGCGCGUAGCUCUGGCUGGCCGGACGGCAACCCUCUACCGUAGCGGGGUGCCCCAGAUGACCAUCCGGCCGCGGUUGCAACAGAUCACGGCAAGUGCGGUUC